RNAcentral lists this ribosomal RNA (384 nucleotides) under uncultured bacterium. RNAcentral's name for it is "bacterial SSU rRNA". It matches the Rfam family "Bacterial small subunit ribosomal RNA", at positions 30 to 414 of the family's 1533-position model. The record is from RNAcentral.
AUUGAACGCUGGCGGAAUGCUUUACACAUGCAAGUCGAACGGCAGCACGGACUUCGGUCUGGUGGCGAGUGGCGAACGGGUGAGUAAUAUAUCGGAACGUGCCCAGUCGUGGGGGAUAACGUAGUGAAAAUUACGCUAAUACCGCAUACGAUCUAAGGAUGAAAGCGGGGGAUCGCAAGACCUCGCGCGAUUGGAGCGGCCGAUAUCAGAUUAGGUAGUUGGUGAGGUAAAGGCUCACCAAGCCAACGAUCUGUAGCUGGUCUGAGAGGACGACCAGCCACACUGGGACUGAGACACGGCCCAGACUCCUACGGGAGGCAGCAGUGGGGAAUUUUGGACAAUGGGCGCAAGCCUGAUCCAGCAAUGCCGCGUGCAGGAAGAAGG